GAUGAACGCUGGCGACGUGCCUAAUACAUGCAAGUCGAGCGAACGGACGAGAAGCUUGCUUCUCUGAUGUUAGCGGCGGGCGGGUGAGUAACACGUGGAUAACCUACCUAUAAGACUGGGAUAACUUCGGGAAACCGGAGCUAAUACCGGAUAAUAUUUUGAACCGCAUGGUUCAAAAGUGAAAGACGGUCUUGCUGUCACUUAUAGAUGGAUCCGCGCUGCAUUAGCUAGUUGGUAAGGUAACGGCUUACCAAGGCAACGAUGCAUAGCCGACCUGAGAGGGUGAUCGGCCACACUGGAACUGAGACACGGUCCAGACUCCUACGGGAGGCAGCAGUAGGGAAUCUUCCGCAAUGGGCGAAAGCCUGACGGAGCAACGCCGCGUGAGUGAUGAAGGUCUUUGGAUCGUAAAACUCUGUUAUUAGGGAAGAACAUAUGUGUAAGUAACUGUGCACAUCUUGACGGUACCUAAUCAGAAAGCCACGGCUAACUACGUG
Molecule: ribosomal RNA, 497 nt
Filed under: uncultured bacterium
Lineage: Bacteria
Description: partial 16S ribosomal RNA
Rfam family: Bacterial small subunit ribosomal RNA
Source: RNAcentral